GUACCUUCAAGCUUGUCAUUGCAAUCUUUGAGCUCUACGCAAGGUCAAGAAAAGUUGUGGAAGGUUCUCUUUGAGUUUCCACAAGGCAAGCACUCUCUCAGCCGGUAAAUUCUUGUUGUAUUCUGAUGCUUUGAGAUUUUUAUACUCUGUUUUCCUUGGUUGGAUCAAAUUGUUGUCUUUGAUGUUUCAGUCCUCGUUCGCCAAUCACUGAUUACAUUCUGUCUUUGGUGAAAGUUAAUCACUAAAAUUAACUUUUUUCUGCUUGGUUAAAUAAGCUAGGAUUUAACUAGUACAAUGUGGAUGAGCAACUAAUGACAAUGACUUUAGGGAAGUGUUAAUUUUCACAAUGGGACUACGUAUAGCAAUGUUUUAAUGUUAAGUAGAUUCUCAUUACCUAUUUAUUAGUAGCUGGGAAUAUUACUCAUAAAAAGCUGGAACAGAUAUGUAGCGAAACACUUUUCAACACCAAAAAGUUAUGAAGCAAUAUUUAUUGGGCUAUUGGUAUUGGCAUGAUCUAUACCACGCAAACGAAAUGAGAAAAUGCACAACUUCUAUAAAUUACUUUAUUCGUAGAAAUGAUAGAAAUAUGUAUAUUCUUAUUCUCCCAUGUGUCAUGUUAUUCCAUCAUCUGUUCAGGGCCCUAAAAAUACGUAAGUUGAAAAAAGUUUAUUUCAUGAUAUUAUUCAAAGUCAUAAUGGUCUUAUGAUAUUCCGAAAGANNNNNNNNNNNNNNNNNNNNNNNNNNNNNNNNNNNNNNNNNNNNNNNNNNNNNNNNNNNNNNNNNNNNNNNNNNNNNNNNNNNNNNNNNNNNNNNNNNNNNNNNNNNNNNNNNNNNNNNNNNNNNNNNNNNNNNNNNNNNNNNNNNNNNNNNNNNNNNNNNNNNNNNNNNNNNNNNNNNNNNNNNNNNNNNNNNNNNNNNNNNNNNNNNNNNNNNNNNNNNNNNNNNNNNNNNNNNNNNNNNNNNNNNNNNNNNNNNNNNNNNNNNNNNNNNNNNUAUACGCACCACCACCUGAUCAGCUGGUAUACAAUGGUGAUGUUGCCCACAGUGGCUGAAAUAUGACUCAGACGGCGGUAUAUACGCAUAUAUAUGUAUAUAUAUGUAGUGUGGGAGUAUGGAAAAAAGGUAACGACGUUAUAUAUGCAUCACCACCUGAUCAGCUGGUAUACGUUGAUGAUUUUGCCCACAACGGCUGAGAUGAUAUGAUGGGAUGCCCUCAGAGGAUUGACGAUAUUAUGUACGUACAGACUUAUGCAUUACAUGACAUAUACACGCAUAUGCAUGACCUUAUGAAUAUUUCAUGAUUUACAUAGCUAUCCAGAUUUACAAGUAUAGAUAAUCAGUUUGACGAGCCCUCAUAGUAGACGAGAUUGGCAUUCAGCGAACGAUCAGUAAGACUCCACCUCAUUCGGAGUGCAGCCGAGUCUAUGAGUCACCGUGUUAGAGUUUUUCUACAGAUCUAUAGAAGGCCGGCACCCUGUCCCAUUUGAUGUCGAAAAAUCCUAGAGGCUUUAUAGACAAAGGUUCAGUUUGUACAGUAUGUCAAAGGCCUUGACGACCCAUAUAUAUUCAUGUUUUAAGAAAAAUGGUUUAGUGAUACGACAUUUUCCAUUUAAAAUUUUAUAUUAUGAGUUGUGGCCAUGUUGGCCCAUGAUAGUUAUAAAAAGGAAUGAAUGAGUUAUAGAGUGGUUCGCUCGGGCUACUAUGGCACCGGGUGCCAGCCACGCCUCCCCAGGGUUCCCCCAAUGCUUUGAAGUUAAAAUUGGAAGAAAUAAGUCAAAAACCAACAAAGGUAAAAUAAAGUUAAAAAGGGUUAAGUCCUACGUGACCAACCGUCAUGGCAAAGUUUGGAAAAGUCCAAUGGUUCUCCGGGUCCAGAAGGGCAAUCGAUAUUCAGGAAAUAACCAGACGUAGUUGAAAUCAUCGUCAAAAGAAGAUUGGCCGAGAUCAAGUGACUGAAAUACUCAAGGCCACAAAAUCAACCACCAUUUCAAACUAACAAGUGUUCUUUGUUUGAAAAAUAGGAAACGGGUGCAAUCCAAAAGCGACUUUACAAGAAGCAGGUACAACCAAAAGGAAACUGCGCGAGGGUUAGAAACAACUAUGUAGCAGUAAAAACUCCAAAAAGGGAAGUCUUAUCCAAGUUCUUUCCCGCAUUUUUCUCAUUCUCUUAAUAAAAAGAAGAGAGAAAAGAAAGAAAGUUUAAAACCAUGGUAGUAUAGGGUACACCAAUCCCUAGCUGCAUUUUCCAACAUAAGGUCUCCACUCCCUAGUUGAUGUUAUUUUAGACAUAGGGUCUCUGCUCCCUAGUCUCCUUUUCCAAUAUAGGUUCUCCACUCCCUAGUAUGUUUUUCCAACAUAGGGUCUCCACUUCCUAGUUGAUAUUAUUUUAGACAUUGGAUCUUCACUCCCUAGUUGAUGUUAUUUUAGACAUAGGAUCUCCACUCCCUAGUCUUCUUUUCCAACAUAGAAUCUUCACUCCCUAGUUGAUGUUAUUUUAGACAUAGGGUCUUCACUCCCUGGUCUCUUUUUCCAACAUAUGGUCUCAACUCCCUAGUUGAAAUUAUUUUAGACAUAAGGUCUCCACUCCCUAGUCUCUUUUUCUAACAUAGGGUCUCCACUCCCAAGUUGAAGUUAUUUUAGACAUAGGGUUUCCACUCCCUAGUUUCUUUUUCCAACAUAGGGUCUUCACUGCCCGAUUGAUUUUAUUGCAUACAUAGGGUCUCCACUCCCUAGUUUCCUUUUCCAACAUAGGGUGUCCACUCCCUAGUUGAUGUUAUUUUAGACAUUCGGUCCCCACUCCCUAGUUGAUGUAUUUCAGACAUAGGGUUUCUACUCCCUAGUCUUCUUUUCCAACAUAGGGCAUCCACUCCCUAGUUGAUGUUAUUUCAGAUAUAGGGUCUCCACUCCCUAGACUCCUUACCAGUAUAGGAUAUACCGAUCCCUAGAUGUGUUUUCCAAUUUAAGGUACAUCAAUCCUUCGAUGAGGCACCAUUUUGGUAAUCAGGGUACACCAUUCCCAAUCAUGUUUUUCUAGGAUGCACCAAUCCCGACCUUUUAUUGCUUUUAAUAAUGAAGUAGUAUAGAGAUUUAUUAUAAAUAACUCACGAAAUUUUCUUAGUGAAACUGGAGUAGAAAAUGUUGUUCGUUUAUUUGUUUUGGUGUCUAAGUAGGUUCACCUCGAGGCACGGGGUUCGAGAUGACCAAGAGAAGAAGUCUCAAUCCAAAAUAAAGAAAAGAAAAGAAAAGAAAAAGGUGAAUCCAAAAUGCAGAAGCGGAUGAAAGGAUGUAGACUGCACAAGACAUGACUAAAGGCACGAGCAUCGCAUUUUCCGUUUAGAUCAGAAAGAAGCUUUAGAAGAAUUAACUAACACCUGUAGCUUGCAAGCAUCAUGAUUCAGAUUAGAUUCUGCAUAAAGAACCGGUCAAGGCUCAAGAUCAAGUUUCAAGAAACUUAUAGAUAGGAAUCUUGUAACUCAUAGCUGAUAGGAUUGUUUAGUUUCUUUUCAUUUUGAUUUGGUGUAAUAAGGAGUUCAGCAAGCAGCAACAACAGUGAAGUCACAACCUUUUGGUAGUCCCAACUAUCAAAACAUCCAGAACUAUAUUGACCUGAUUCUUUUGUAGCCAAGGAUGUGUAGGCAACCUCCGAAGCAAGGUUCGGUCAAAGUUUUAUAAAAUGUUUUCCAUAGGGUAUCAAAUGGGAAAAUAUUACUCAUAAUUGCUCACUUUAUCUUUGCCCGAAAACUCUUCAUGCUUUCGAGCAAAAAGGAAAAGUUGUGGGCACGUAAUUUUUGCCCUGCCUAAAUUACUCCUUAAAAAUUUACAAAAAUAAUUCUUUCUUGGUGUUUUUUUUUCAUUUUUAGAAUCUCUAGGAAUUUCUCUUUAUUCGUUUUUUUGAAUUUAUUUUCAUUUAUUUGCAUUCAUGCUUAUGUAGAAAUAUUUUAAAAUCUUUAAAAAAUCCUGAAUUUUUUUAUCUUUCACAUUUUGCAUUUUAGAUUUUAAUUGCAUUUUUAGGAUUUAAUCACAUAUUAACUUCAUAGUUAAUAAUUGAAAAUCAUAAAAAAUUAAAUCACAUUAGCUUAUUUCUUUGGCAUGUUGGUAAUUAAAUAGUUCAAUUUUAAUUUAAAUUAGUUUAAUUGCUAAUUAGGUCAUUUUCGCAAAAUAGUUUUAAUUUGGUUAAGUUUGAAAAAUUAAAUAAAGAGUAAUGGGGUUGUUCUCUUUAGGCUCUGAAAUUGGGCCAGCUUCAGGCGGCCCAAAACCCCUCAAGCCCGUCCAACCCCCUCCCAUUAUCUUGCCCAGACCCCUACUAAAUCUUAACGACACCGUUUUUGUCACGUUCAAUCUCCACCGUCUAUCCCCUCUAGUCCAAUGGAUGGGAACUCAUCACCCCUUUCCUUAUAGUUGUCUGAACUGCCCCCCAAACCCUAGAAACCAUUUCUAUUCUCCAGCUCCUUCAUCACCUAACGCUAGCAGUUACACCACCAGAGCCAUCUCUAGCGGCUCACCUCCAAAUACCCUCAAACCUUCACCAAAUAAACCUCACCUCCCCCUCUCCUAAAAUCCCAUAACCAUUCCCGUCAAAUAUCCUUAGAACUGCUCAAUUUUGAAAUCUAAAAAAAAGUCUGAAAAACCUAGGUUUGUCUCUUUUCUAUUUUUUCAUGAUUUUUGAUUCGUUUUGGCUCAAACUCAUGUGAAUAGAUUGCUCUUAACACGAUCAAUUGUUUUAUGUUAUUUUGGUUCAUUUCGAAGUCAUCGGACCAUUGUCAAACGGCCACUAACGGGACAAACCUCGCUAAAGAUCGUUUUAUUGCUUCGUCUUUCUUUCAAUAGGUAUACCCUCACCUCAUUCUAUCAUAUUUUCAUUUUUGUUGGUUAAAAACAGUGUGUUAAUUAUUUAGGCAUUUAAUCAAAAAAUAUUUUUAUUUGUUUAAUUUAGUUUUAACCAGAAUAGCUUAGUUCAUAAAUUAACCAUAGCUUUGCAUCCAAGUUUGUUAAUUACUUUUUUACAUGAUUAGAGUAAAUAAUUAAAUGCAUGAUUAGCAGUUUCAAUUAUAUGAUAAUUAGUCUAAUUGUCUAAGUUUAGGUUAAUUGGUCCAGAUUUAAUUUGAUAUUGAAGCAGGUUAUUGAUUCAGGUUUUGCAUAUUGUUUGUUUUAGUCCGUUUGCUCUUUUGGUACGGUUUAUUUGUAAUUACAAGAAGUUUAAGAGGUUAAGGGAAUAUGGAAAUUAGAGAAUCUUAAAUGGUUAUGUAGGAGGUUUCUAGAAGGGAUUAAAAUGCAAUAAAAAAGGAAAUUAGGUGAAAAUUGGGGUAAAAGGGGUAAAAUUCAGAAGUUAAGGAGGGGGGGAAAGGAUAAGGAAAGAAUCAUCCGAAUGCGAUAACCGUCCAUUUCUGUUAAAAAUCCUCUUUCCCUUUUUAAAGAGGCUUACAGAUUCUCCUACACCCUCUAUCAUUCUCUAAUACAACAUACCUUCACCUUCCAUAUAAGGACACACAUUCCUUCACUCACACAGACACUAAUUUCUGCAUUUUCAAACAACAUAUUCCUCUCAUUUGAGACUGAUUUCUGCACUUUUCAGAUAAUUCUCUUAUUGUAACAAUCCUGCCAGUCAUUUCAUGAGUUACCGCUCCAUUUCCCCCCAUUAUUUAUUUCUUUAUGUAUUGUUCAGCUGUAUUAUGUCGUAUUGGGAUUGUUGGUUCGGGUUUGGUGUGGUUUUGUAGCGAAAUGAGACACUUAGUCUCUUUUGAGCAAGCUUAAAUUGGAAAAGUCAACCGAAUAUUGACUUAUGUAAAAAAGGUCUUGGAUGUGAAUUCCGAUGUUUUGGAUAGAUUCAUUAGAUGAUUUGAGACUUAGAAGCAUAAUUGGAAUGUAUUUUGGAGGUCCGCGGUAGAUUUAGGCUUGAGUUGGCGAAAUUGGAAAUUUGGCAUUUUCCGGCCGGUAGUGAAAAUUUUGAUAUCGGGGUCGGAAUAGAAUUUCGAAAAUUAGAGUUGGUCUGUUGUGUCAGUUGUGAUGUGUGUGCAAAAUUUUAGGUCAUUCGGGUGAGGUUUGAUAUACUUUUUGAUCGUUUGCGGAAUUCGGAUGUUCUAGAAUCUUUAGGCUUGAAUACGAGGGUGAUUUGAUGUUUUGAUGUUGUUUUGAGUGUUUCGAAGGUUGGAAUAAGUUUGAAUGAUGUUAUGGGAUGUGUUGGCAUGUUUGAUUGAGGUACGGAAGGCCUCGGGUAUGUUUCGGAUGCUCAACGGGUUAUUUUUGGACUUGAGGACUUAGUAGAUUUUGCUGGUUUUCUGUUGCAAAGAUUUUGUUCAUCGCAUUCGCGAAGGGUGUCUCGCAUUCGCGAAGAGUGUCUUCUGUGGUGGUGGAUUUUUUCUACGCAUUCGCGAAGGAUUGGACGCGAACUCAAAGAUUAAGGCAUCAUGUGCAUCGAGGACGCGUGAGUGGGGUAGCAUUCGCGAAGAGGAGUGAGGCAGUUGGGGACCCCAGGUCUUUGGUCUAUGCGUUCGGGAGGCGAGGUCCGCGUUUGCAAAGGAUUGAGUUGGUUAAGCAUCACAUUUAGGAAGAAGUUAUCGUGGUCGCGAAGGGUUAAGCGGAGGCAGUCUAAGUUUGGCCAACGUUAACACGAGAGGACGGUUGCUUUAGCGAUGAAGAGAGUACCUGGGCAAAAUGUAUAAAAACCCAUCUUCGCGAUUUUUAGCCCAUUUCUCACAAUUUUUGAACGUCUUUGAAGCUUUUUGAGAGGAUUUGAAGAGGGAAUCGAAGGGAAAUAUUUGGAGGUAAGGUUUUUGAACUCAAUACUCGAUUCUAUGGUAAUUUCUAACUAUUUAUACAUGAAAUUAAUGGGAUUUAAGGCCUAAAAUUGGGGAUUUAGGGCUUCAAAUUGGAGAGUGUAAUCUGGGGAUUUGAGGGGUCAUUUGAGGUCCGAUUGUGAUGUUCUUGGUAUGUAUAUACUCGUGGGAGGAUAAAGAUUCUAUUAAUGUAAUUUUUAUCGUAUUCCGAGAUGUGGACCCGACGGUUGGGUUUGGCCAAUUUCGGGAUUUUUUAGUCAAUUUGAUUAUUUUCGCUUAGGAUUUGUUCCUUUAGCACGUAUUAAUGGUAUGAUACUGGUUUUGGUUAGAUUUGGAGCAUCAGGAGGCCGCGUUGAGAGGCAAAGGCAUCGUUGGAUGAAGUUUGGACCGGAUUGAGGUAAGUAAUGAUUGUAAAUGUUGUCCUGAGGGUAUGAAACCCCGAAUUUCACAUCGUGGUGCUAUUUUGAGGUGACGCAUGCUAGAUGCCGAGCAUGGGGUCGUGCACCGUUGGGGAUUGUGACUUGGUAUCCCAUACGACUGUUAAGUCGAGUAUUUGAUUUAAAACUGUUUGAUAUCAUUGUGUUUUGGAAAGUAUUACCAUGUUUUGGGUUGAAUGCCAUAUUUGGGCCUCGUGCCAACUGUUUUUGGACCCUUAGGGGCUUUUUACUACUAUUUCUCACUGUUUUGACUUAAUAUCUAUACUCAGUUAUGUUGUAUUCUACUGUUUUAAUAACUCCGUCCUAUUUACUCCGUUUUGAUAUUUUAAAAGAUAUUUUGGGCUGAGCAUCAUGUUUUACUGUUGCCCGAGUGGCUUGAGAGGUUUCUGACUGAGUGAGGCCGAGGGCCUGUGUUGUGAGGAUACUAUGGGAUUGGGCUGCGCGCCGCAGCAUGUUGUAUUGAUUUGUAAUAUAUGAGAGGUUGAGGGCCUGAUUCGUUAUGCCAUGAGAUGACUUGUGAUAGCGCUUGGGCUGUUGGAGCCCCUUCGGAGUCUGAACACCCCUAGUGAGCGCGAGUACCCAGUGUAAGUGAUGUGAUAUUGCCCGAGGGGCUAUUGUUGUUUCAUGUUGUUGCCUGAGGGGCUGAUUAUGAGUGAUUGUGAGGUAUCCUGAGGGACUAGUUCUGUUGAUAUUUUGCCAAAUGGGCGGUUUAUUGUACAUGUUUUGCCCGAGGGACUAUUUACGUUUCUAUCCUUUUACUCACCAUUUUCAUUACUCGUUUGAAACUAUUGAAAGAUGCUUUAAAAUGGUUUUACUGAACUGAGUUGUUUUACGAGUUAAUUGAUUUAUUGUAUUGUUCUGGAUGUAUAAUAUUUUGUUGUAGUGCUAUGACGCGGAAUUACUGCUCAGAUGCUUUUACUUUUAUUACUUACUGAAUUGGCAUACUCACAUUACUCCCUGCACCUUGCGUGCUGAUCCAAAAGUCUCGGGAAGCGAUAGUUAGUGCUGAUUAGUCUUCCAGCAGGUCUCCAGAGUUGGCUAGGUAGCUGCUUGGCAUUCGUAGCCCAUCACUUCUCCUUCUUAUCUUACUCAGAUUAUCUUAGUAUUUUAUUUUCGGACUAUGUUAGCCUUCAUUAUUCCUAAACGAGUUUGUAGUUGCUCAUGACAAGUGACACCCCGAUUUCGGGAUUGUGUUAUAUUUUUGCACUACUUAUUUAAACUUAUAUUGUGGGAUUUUAGUUAAUUAAUUGCUUAAAAUGACUUCUUAUGAAAUUUCUGGUUGGUUUUGGGUUUGUGUCGGUUGGCCUUGUUUCACAAUAGGCGCCAUCACGACCGGGUUAGUUUUAGGGUCGUGAUAAGUUGGUAUCAGAGCCUAGGUUACAUAUGUCUCACGAGUCAUGAGCAGGUUUAGUAGAGUCUCGCGGAUUGGUACAGAGACGUCUGUACUUAUCCUUAGGAGGCUGCACAACUUUUAGGAAAUAAUUCACAUUCUUGAAUUCUUGUCGUGCGAAUCUGUUGAUUCUGAUAACUAAAAUUUUGUUAUUUUAUUCUCUCAUAGAUGGUGAGGACGUGUGCUACCGGUCAUGAUGGGCGACCACUAGUACCACCAGCUGGGGCCACUAGAGGCCGAGGACGCGAUCGAGGCCGUGGUAGGAGUAGGGGUGUAGCCCGCACUGUAGCUAAGGCAGUACCUACAGAUCCACUAGCCGCUCCAAUUCAUGAUCAGGUCCCAGUUGUGGACGCUCCAGCAGGACCAGCUCAGGCACCCAUUGUUCCCAUUGUGAUUCCAGGCCUUUAGGAGGCCCUAGCCCAGAUUCUAUCAGUAUACACUGGCCUAGCUCAGGCAGUCUCGGUUACUACAGCCGCAACUACUUCUCUGGCCGGGGAAGGCACUCAGACCCCCGCCGCUCACACACCUGAAUAGGUCAUGCAGGGACUUCAGGCACCGGGGGCAACUCCAGCCCAUUCGUUUGCAGCUACUCAGGACUAUGUAGAUCCUGUUAUGCCAGAGGACGAGUAGUGCAAAUUGGAUAAGUUUGGUAGACUUCAGCCUCAAACUUUCAAUGGUGCUGAGGGCGAGGAUGCCUAGGGUUUCUCGGAUAAGUGUUACGAAUGCUUUGAACCGCAGGUAUUCUGGAGACCAGUGGGGUCUCAUUCACUACUUUCCAUUUCUCUGGGGUUGCACUUAGUUGGUGGGAGGCUUACCAGAGGUGUAGGUCGGUUGGCGCAGCGCCCCUUUCUUGGCAGUAGUUCUCCGUUCUCUUUCUUGAGAAGUUCGUACACGAGUCUCGCCGAGAGGAGAUGCGUAGGCAGUUCGAGCAGCUUCGUUAGGGUGACAAAUCUCUUACACAGUAUGAGAUACGGUUCUCCGAGUUGGAUCAUCAUGCGGUCUGGUUGGUUCCCACAUAUCGAGAGAGGAUCAGGAGGUUUAUAGAUGGCCUCGAUUUUCAAUUUCAGUUGCUUAUGACUAGAGAGAGAGUAUCUAGUGCUACCUUUGAUGAGGUUGUUGACAUAGAUUAAGAUGGUUCGUUGUUAGGAUAGGGUUGAGACGGAGGCUAAGAGUCCUUGUGGUCAGGGUGGAUUCAGUGGCGCUCCUCAUGGGGGUCUACUUCAGCACGGCAGAGGCCGUCCAUUCAGGCAUGCUCAGUCAGCUCACCCAGGUUAUCGUGGGGCAUCAUCGGGCCAUGGUUCUCACAGUUCUCAUCAGGGUCAUUCCUCACUCAGUGCCCUCCCAGCCCAGAGUUCGUCCCGUGCUCCAUCACUCUAGGGCUCUUCUAUGCCAGGUUCUUCUGCUAGUCAUCCCGGUGCUAGGGGUUCCCUUCAGUCCCCGUCUCCAGCACUAGGGGGUUAUUAUGAGUGUGGAGAGUUGGGGCACAUAUGGAGGUAGUGUCCGCGUCGUCUUGGGGGUUCAUCUCAGUAGAGGAGUCAGCCAUCGAAUUCAGCACCAGUUACUUCACCACCCAUCCAGCCAGCUAGGGGUGGAGGACAAUCAGCUAGGGGUCACCCCAAAGGGGGAGGUCGAUCAGGUGGUGAUCAGGCCUGUUUCUAUGUACUCCCAGCUAGACCCGAUGCUAUUGCUUCAGAUGUAGUGAUUACAGGUAUUGUCUCAGUUUGCCACAGAGAUGCCUCUGUAUUAUUUGAUAUUGGUUCCACUUUUUCAUAUGUGUCAUCAUAUUUUGCUCGUUAUUUAGUGUAUGCGGUAAAAAUCAAAGUGUCCGAUUUUAUAGUCAUUAUGACACUUCGUAGGCACGUGUCCAAGGGCUCGAGGCCAGGUUCAACCCCGAAGGGUUCUCAGCGUUCGGCCUCGGGGCAGUGCGAAUCGGUACUUAUGAUGGAAAAAUGAGAGAUUCCCAAGUCACGUGACUAAAGUUGACCAAGUCUAUUAGGCUAGUUCAAGCCUGUACCGAGGCAUUAAAUGGCUGUACCAUCUAUAUAUCUUUAUAAUAAAUGCAUUUGUACUAUGUUGGGAUUCCCCAUAAUAUAUAAAGGGGACCCUUAUCAUUUUGUAAAAAAUAUAAUAUCACUUGCAACAUUCAAAACAAGAACAUUCCCUGCUCCCGAACACAUUCUCCCUUGAUUCUAUUAUUUACAUUUAUUGCUUGCAUUUAUUGUGUUCUAUUUAUUGUUCAUCAUUUAUUGCUUGCUAUUAAACAUAAAGAGCCUUCAUCAAAGCUCUCAAUAUUGUUAGCCCUUCAUCGGUUGUCCAUAGAUCAGUAUCGAGCUCGACCUCAAGACCCCAUAUAAUCAGGCUCGAGGCUCCCAUUCUUAGCCGCUCGGUUUGCUUAAACACACUAUUUUCAAGUUCAUACCUUAUUUUCUAGUCUCAUAAUUAGCACAUAUUUCCUAACAACUGGCAUAAAAACAGAUGACGUAUUUUUAGAACUAGAAAAUCAAUCUAAUUGUAAUUACCAUUUUCAAGGUAAAUAGUUUGGCGCCCACCGUGGGGCUAAAAAUAAUAGUGAUUGUUUUCUUGUUGGUUUAACACAUAAUGUAAGUUAUCUUUCACAUUUUUUCUUGCCCAAGAAUCUUUGAUUUCAAGUCAAAAUGUCUAACUCAGUGAAUGCAUAUGAAAAAACGGUCUUGAAUACCAUGAAGAGAAUGGUGUAGCUAUUCCAGGUAUUGGUGUACCGCCACAAAUUUCUGAGGGCACACCAGAGCCAAUCCCCGCGGAUGUGGCUCAACAGAUCGUUAUAAGCUCCCACACUAACAGGAAUGUACGAAAAGGAGACCACAAGAAGCUCAAAAAACCCCAGCAUGGGAGGAAAAAGAGGUUAGCCUUCACGUUAUUUUUGAAAUGUUACAGGCACAACAGCUGGCGAUUGCUCAACUGCAAAGCUAUAAAAAACUCCAAGCACAGCAGCACCGGAAGCGGCUCCUCGAGCCGAACAAAUACUAGAAAGAUCGAGUAACAACGGGUCAGCAACCGACCCCGCUAUUAUAAAGAUGCUUGAGGACCUCACAAAGAGGAUUUAAUUGGGUGAAAAAAUUAUAGAAUCCAACGACAAAAAGGUAGAGACACACAUCUCGAGGAUCGAUCAUGAUCUCGGGCACACCCCUGAUCUUGAAGGGUUUCGUUUUGAAGAAAUUCAUACAAAAGCCAUUCCCGUCAAAUGUCGCCCCAAAGCCUAUCCCAAAGAAAUUCAGAAUGCCCGACCUUCUGAAGUACAACGGAACCUCGGACCCCAAUGAGCACGUCACUGCUUAAAAUUGUGUAGUGAAGGGAAACGACCUGAGGGACGACAAGAUAAAAUCUGUCGUGCUAAAAUGUUUGAGGAAACACUCUAAAAAGGGGCCAUGAUGUCGUAUCACAACCUAGCUCCGAAUUCAAUAGACUCAUUUGCCAUGCUGGCAAAUUCUUUCAUAAAGGUACAUGUUGGUGCCAUCAAGGUGGCUAUAAUGAAAUCUGAUGUCUUCAAAAUCAAACAAAGAGAAAACGAGAUAUUGCAGGAGUUCGUAUCUUGCUUCCAAAUGGAGCGGAUGGAAGUACCGGUGUCUUCGAAGUAGCUGAAGCAGAAUUUGGUUGAAUAUCCCAUUGUGACCUGGUCGGAUGUCCACAACCGGUACCAAUCAAAGAUCAGGGUCGAGGAUGACCAACUGGGAGCCCCCUCAGGCUUGGUAUAUGCAAGCAGACUCCUAGCAAAGGAGACAAAGCCAAACAAGGAAAGGUACCAACCAUACACCGAAGAUAGGAGAAACACCCCAAAGCGUAACAUACCCCGAAAUGAUCGAAGAACAGACCGAGGUCAGAAUCCUCAAGGACUCGUGAGUAGAGUCGAAUUCAAUAGACACACAUGACCGAUGGAGGCACUCCGCCUGUCGGAAUAUAACUUCAACUUUGACGUUUCAGAUAUUAUAUCCGCCAUCAGUAAAAUCAGAGACACCAGGUGGCCAAGACCUAUACUAUCAGAUCCAUCGCAGAGGAACCCCAACUUAGUGUGUGAAUUUCACGGCACAGAUGGUCAUAGGACCAAAGCUUGCAGACAUCUUCGAGAAGAAGUAGCCCAGUUACUCAGCAAAGGGCACCUCCGAGUGUUUCCUUGCGACCGAGCCAAAAAUCAAUUCCGAGAAAGAGAGGCAAACAGGAAAUAUGAAGCAGACGAGCCGCAACAUGUCAUCCAUAUGAUUGUUGGGGGAGUCAACAUCCCACAUGAACCCACUAUUAGAAGAACAAAAAUAUCCAUUACCAGGGAAAAGCAAACUCGAGGUUACAUACCCGAGGACGCUCUCACGUUCAGUGAUGAGGACAUUGAAACCCUGUCUCAGCCUUAUAACGAUGCAUUGGUAAUUUUUUUUCUUGUAAAUACAUUUCAAAUUAAGCAUGUACUUGUGGAUCUAGGUAGCACGACCAAUAUUAUCAGGUCAAGGGUCGUGGAGCAGCUCGGACUGCUCGACCAGAUAGUGCCUGCCUCUCGAGUCCUUGACGGAUUCAACAUGGCGAACAAAACAACAAAAGGGGAAAUCACCCUCCCGGUCAAUGUGGCCGGCACGACUCAAAAUGUCAAAUUUCAUGUCAUCGAAGGGGAUAUGAGGUACAACACCUUGUUCGAAAGGCCAUGGAUACACUGCAUGAGAGCAGUACCAUCAACCCUUUAUCAAAUGAUGAAGUUUCCGAUGAAGGCCGGAACAAAAACCAUGUAUGGGCAAACAGUGAAGUAUCAAUCACGAGACACAUUCUCGACUACACCCGGAUAAAACAAGCAAAGGGUCGUGCCAUGUCCUCAAAACAAACAUAUCGAGGCUCAAAGCGCCAUCACCACUAAGGUAUAACCACCUCCCUUUUCAUUUACAUUUUACACUAAACUUUGUGCAGAUGUUCGAUCAGAACAGUCCAAGCGAUGUCCAGCUUGAAGACCUUAAGGUUUCAAAGCAUACAUUUCACUCUUUUCCUUUGAUCGGGUUUUAUCCCAAGAAGGGUUUUACCGACAUGUUUUUAACGAGGCAACAUCCAUUUUCUACCUAAGGAGAAUUUCAUAAGUAUUCAAGGCUUCACUUCAAUAAACCUCCAACACUGGGGGGGAGGGGGAGACCCCCCGGGAGAUGACCUUCUUGAAGAAGUCAAGAUAAGCCAAAGAGGGUCUCUAUAGGGAAAUGAUGUAUCGGGGCAAACGAUCGAAUGAACCGUGUCCGCAUAAAAUAAUUGAGCCCUCGACAGCGAAAACAUGUAUACUUGUACCAAGUAAUCAAAGAAUAUUUCCCCUCCAACAAAACUCAUUACACUUUUAAGAAGUACGCUUCUUUCAUAAGAAAUGGCUCCAGAGCCAUAGAAUUCCGGAAUACUCGAGGACUGACACCGAAAAUUCGAGGCCACAUGACCUCCGGUUCAGAAACUUCAAACUUGUAAGCCCUCAAUGAGGCAAUACCUAGUUUACAAGGAAUGACUCUAGAGUCAGGAAACUUUAGAUGACUCGGGUACUGUCCCUGACUGUCACCCCCAUUAAUUUACCAAAACCCCGAGGCCAUAAGACCCAAUGCGGGCAACCUCUAGCUCACAGGACCUUCAUAAGGAAAUACCAAAUCAGUAAGACCUUAAGCAAGACAUGAAUUAUACUUGUACCAAGUAACCAAAUCUGUAAGACCUCAAGUAAGGCAUGUGAAAAUUCAUAAGACCUUACAAAAGGCAUAAAUCCGGAUCUUAAAGUUAAGGCUAUACAUUCGAACUUAUAAAACCCCUAAAAAGGCAUACCCUCAAUGUAAACAAUGAAACUACUUUACUCAGGGACUGAAAGACUCCAGCCAAAUCCAAUGACUCCGGUCACAAGGCUCCGGCCAAACUCACGUGACUCGAGGAUGCCCGACCGUCGCUAUAAAAUCACAGGCCUUCAAUUACUUCGAAAAAACUUCGAAAAGAAUUGGUCAAUCAACCUACCCUCGUUAUAAUCAAUAGAGCUUCGAUCAUAUCAGCUCCAAACAAUAGGCUUCGAAACAAUUCUACCAUCGAGCGAAACCUCUUGAGGUGCUCAUUUAUCGCUACAUAACGGCUCACAAUUGAGGUUCUUAUCGAACCAUCGAAGAGUCGGGCGAGCACAAAAACUUCAAAAAGGUUUUUAGCAAGGGAAAAAUAAAUCCUACAUUAGAGAUCGUACCGACCCAACACGUAAGAACCACUGUCGUCAGCCCGCAUUAGAUGUCGUACCGACCCAGCGCGUAAGAGCCACUAUCACCAGCCGAUAUAUUAAGAGGUCGUACCGACCCUACGCGUAAGAGCCAGCUUAAAUUCAAAAACUUAAGGGUCAAUAAGCUCGAGUCGAAAUCCGACUCGGAGACUAAGCCCGAAAUAGUUAACUAAAAACGCCUAAGGGAAAAUGCGUAAGAGCCUACGAGCCAACCUAACAAGCCUCAGGGCCGAAUUAUAAACCUAACGGUUUUUUCUCAAAGGACAAUUCAUCUGGUUAAUCAUUUACAAAACGUCAAAACUCAAGACAAAGAAAGGCAUACACAAGUAAAUAGAAAUUCAUGGAAGGAGAAAACCAAAAGGUUUCUUUAUAUAUGCACAUAUGAAACAAUGCAAAGCUACAUUUGUAGAUGCUCUCUAAGAGCCCUUUACAAAGAAUCAAAAAGAAAGAGCCUAGUCUAUGUCCCCCUCGAGGACUGUGGCCCGUCAGCCUCUUCCUUAUUAUCUUCGGCAUCAGACAAAAGGAACUUGGCGUCGUAUUCAUCUGCCUUGGUCUGCGCUAUCUCUUCCGAGAGAUAAAAUCCCCUAGCAUGAAUCUCUUCAAGGGUUUCCCUCCGAGAUUUACACCGGGCAUAUUCAUUGCUUCUGCACUCUCGAUCAGAAGCCUCUCUCAGCUCAGCCCCAGCUUCGAUAGCGUCUUUUAAAUAGACGACCACUUUUUUGUAGGCCUUAGCCUGAAUCUCUUCAGCUUCAGACCGGGCAUCCUCGACCUCGGCCUUCAUCUCCAAAAGGUCGGACUCGAGCCUUGCAAUACUGCUCGUCUAAACCGAGCUGUUUUCAUGGGUGUUCCAGAGUUGCACCUCGAGUGCAGAAACCUUGGCCAGAGCAUUCUUCAUGGCCACAACAUGGGCAUCUAUCUGAGCCUUAAGCUCAUUACACUCAAGCUUGGCCUAGCCAACCUCGCCCCAAAGGCAUUCCAAAUCCUUUGUCUUGCCCUGCAACUGAGGUAUCAAAAUGUUAAUCCUUGAGGAUAGAAGUGCAUUCCCUCGGAGUAAAAGUUACCUAUUUCUCAAGGUGGCUUUUGUAGUUUAGGCUUUGAUUAGCCUCACACCAAAGGUGCCUCAAUUCAUUUCCCCUUUCAUCACAAAGAAGCCUGAAAGAUUUCCCCCAUCCAAGUCUUUCCUUAACCAGGCUUCACAGCUGAGCAACUCGGACUUGAGCUUGUCAAAGGCCUAUGAAAAAGAAGCUCAAUGAGAAAACGGAAAUGUAAAAUCAGAAGAUCAACAAAAUUGACCAAGGCUCACCAUAUAACAAAGCCAUUGAGCCUCCUCAAAGGUUGAGCGUGCACCUACUGGCAUGGUCUCACCGGCCCUAGUUGAACCGAUCUCAGUAGGGACACAAUCGUUCGAGACCCCGCUUGAUUUAGGCGGCUCAUGAUCUAAAACAUCCCUCGAAGUAUCUUCGAUGGGGUGCGAGGACGGCGGCUAAACACCUGUACCUCUCGAAAUACCUUCGGCGGGAAAUGAAAACGGUAGCAAGAGAAGAACCACUUUUCCAAGUCUAGAAGCCUCAGAUUCAGCAGGUUUAGCAAAUACAUCUUCUUUGAGCCUUCAAGCAGGGCUUGCCUAGCUAAGAGCACUCUCGUCCUUCGAGGACUCCUUCCGUUUGUUAUCGGUCCUCGACCCCAAAGUCGACGAUUCUUCCGCCUCCCUGAGGGGGCACGGCCUCAUCUCAAAAAAAUCUCCAAUGCUGCGGUGAUGGAGUUAGUACACAUAAAAGAAAGUACCUUUCAAAGGAAUCAAGCCACACACCACGUACUGUGAUGUUUUGCCUCCUAUCUACCCUUGUCCAGAUCUUGCCACUUACGCUCAUCAUAAGUCGAGCAAGCUGCCAGUUUUCGAGACCAAUACGCCAGGUUGGGAACCUCGUGUGGCAUCCAUGGGAUUGCUGCAAAAAAAAGGAAAGGAAAGCAUCAUUACAGAGUCCGCCUUCACCAUGGGCAAAAAUAAUAAGAACACAAGUGUACCACUUACGCGUGAAAUUCCAUUUCUCAUGAAAUGGAAGGAACUCUGCGGGGAUAAUAUCGACAGUCCGCACUCGGAUGAAACGACUCAUCCACUCUCAAUCCCUAUCUUCUUCAUUGCUAACAACAAAAGGGCCGAGUAGAUUGACGUCGCAGAGUAAUCAGGCCUCGAUGAUGCAAGGGCCGGUACAAUCUAAGAAGAUGACUGAGGGUGAACUCGACCUUGGCUUUAUCUGCAAAAUACCUUACCAUCAACACUAUCCUCCAAAAUGGUGGGUGAACCUGUGCCAGGGUAACCCGACAUCUCCUACAAAAUUCGAGCAUGAAUCUGUCGAGGGGGCCCAACGUAAAGCGGUACAUAUAUAUGUUCAAAAAACUCUCGACAUGAGCUAUGUUACUCUCUUCCGGGGAAGGUACCUACAGUACCUCUUUUUCUCCUCAUCCGUAGUCUUUUCUAACUGUCUCGAGGUGCUCCUCCCCUAUGAAAGAAAUAAACCUCAAUGCAUGCUCCCGAUGGCCCUGAACAUUGGGAGGUCUCUCCAACGCAAAGUCCCUCCUCAUGACAAAGCACCUCAACGUUAGCUCACCAGGUACAGGUGGUGUACCACCGACCGAGCGCGAAGCAGAGGCAGAACUCUCCUCUCCUUGGUGAAUGGGUGUGGACGUAGCAGCCAUGGCUAUGAUAAAAUAAGAAAAAGGAAGGUAAAGGCUUGGACGAAAGCUCUUAAAAUGGUAAGAGAACUGGCACAAAAAGAGCUCUAUAAGAGGGAUAGUUACUCAAAGUAGCGGAGUCUUCAAACAAGAAUUAAGCAAAUGAAUAUAUAGAGCAAGCAAGAAUUGUUAAACUAUCCUGAAGGCUAAUUGAUUCUGACCAUGUCAGUGCCAUUUUGGGGAAGUGCACCGAUGGGACCACCCUGGUCACUUCACAAUCGUGUCGCAUAAAUAAUAUUAUCACACAAUGCUCGGGAGCCGUCGAGACCCCAAGAAUUUAUGUUAUUAUAAUCAUUUAUUCUGAAAAGUUAUCGACCUAAUCUCGAGAUGGUGCCUGAUCUCGAGGGUUUCGAUUAUUCUAAGUACGGGCUCUGAAGAGCCAACAUCAAAUUUCAAAGACCAACUCCUCAUGAAUGCUGAAAUAUAAAUAAUUUAAAGUCGAGCCCUAAAGAGGGAUUGUCCCCGAGCCCUCUUCGAGAGUCUCCUCUAUGCGGGUCUGUUCCAUAUCGACCACCCCUGAUUCGGCAGCAUUCCGCCCGGUAACUUGUGGAGCAUAUUCGCCUCGUCUCAUCCUUUGUACCAAAGGGCCUCCAUAAUCAUCAUCACCUUUAUCCUUGGCACGGGGACUUGCCACAACAGCCAAAGCCGAGACCGUGGCGUCGGUCUUAAUUGAAGACUCGGCUGAAGUUUCUUUCUCCCUUUUUUUACCCAUACCGGGAUUAGAGGUUCCCUCUUUACCAGUAGGAGCCGAACUCAUCGACACUCCAUAUCUGAGGCCUGCACAAGCAUAAUGCAUCUAAGUACAAAGGAUACUCAUAAGGGAGCCUAGUAAAGAUAGCAAUAAAGAGCAUACCGUGGUUCUUGGCCUGCCACUGUAUUUUGGCCAAGUCGUGCCAAGAACGAUCAAAAUAAGGUAAAGCAGAAUCCAAUUAAAUGAUCCAUCCCAAUAGAUUCUGAACCACAUCAGGGUACCAAAUGGUGGUUUUAUAAUCAAAAGAAGACCAUUUUUUCAGAAGAGGAUGAAAAGGCAAUAAAAUAUGUUCGGGGUAAGGGCACUUGCGGUUCGUAUUCCACUCCUCCAGGAAUGGCAUCCUAUUAGCCGGGAUAGUGUUCGAGGUCCACACUCAGACAAAUCGACUCAUCCACCCCCGAUCCUUGUCCUCAUCAAUGCUCGAAAAGAACGGCCUCGUGGACUGUAGAUGAAGCUUGAUCAAACCCCGAUAUAAUCGAGGGUUGUAUAAUCUGAUCAAGUGAUUGAGGGUGAAGUUCAUACCCCCAACCUUGUUGGAAAAGUACCAGAGCAUAUGAACUAUCCUCCAGAAAGAAGGAUAGAUCUGACCAAGCGUCACUCGAUACUCAUGGCAAAAAUCGAGAAUCACCAGAUCUAUCAACGGGGAAGAAGGAUCUGAAGAAUCUGUGGGGGCUAAAGUGAAUGGGUAUGUAUACACGCUGAGAAAGUCAGAUUUAUGUUCUACUAUGUUCUCCCCGAAAUUGGGGAUUUCUACUAAUGCUGCCCUCCUCCAUUUUCAGUCUUCCUUCACUCUGCUCGUAUCGGUCACCAUGCUGAUGUAUUGAGACACAGGCUCACAUCGUCUGGUGUGGCAGGGGGAUUUUCGAUGGAAAAAUUGUAUACGAUGUCGAAUUUUGUAGGAGUACAUUGCUCGACAGUUAGGGGUACUUUUGGUUUACCCCUGGAUGAGUGAGACGAAGAAGUAGUGCCCUCCUUUUGAGGUAUCGUUCUAUAGGCCCUAGCCAUAGCUAUAAAAAGGGUUUAUAGGAAGGAAAGUGAAGAAGCAAUGGCAGAAGGGAGAAGAAUGUAUAAUACGAAGGACUAAACUCUAGAAAAUUGAAGAUGUUGUAAAAGUGUGAAUAACAAAAUGGUUGAGGUAUUUAUAGAAGCCGGACCAAUAGCGUUUCGUCAGAUUCUCAAUAGUCGUAUUGAUAGCGACCCCUACGCAGCCUUUGAGUCAUGUCAUUUAAUGUUCUCAUAGGCUGACGUCAUGAUGGUAGUAUCGAAGAAGCAAGAAUUCAAGACCGUUUCUUAUCAUUUUCAUUCUAAGAAAUGCGGGGACUAUAUGUAUGCGGUAAAAAUAUGGUCUGAUUUUAUAUUCAUUAUGACGCUUUGUAGGCACAUCUCUAAGGGCUCGAUGCCAGGUUCGAGGUUCAACACCAAAGGGUUCUCAACUUUCGGCCUCAAAGUAGUGCGAACCGGUAGUUAUGAUGGAAAAAUGAGAGAUUCCCAAGGCACGUGACUAAAGCUGACCAAGUCUAUUAGGCUAGUUCAAGCCCGUACCGAGGCAUUAAAUGGUUGUACCAGCCAUAUAUCUUUGUAAUAAAUAUAUUUGUACUAUGUUGGGAUUCCCCCUAGUAUAUAAAGGGGACCCUAGUUAUUUUGUAAAAUAUAUAAUAUCACUUGCAACAUUCAAUACAAGAACAUUCCAUGCUCUCUAACACAUUCUCUCUUGAUUCUAUGAUUUACAUUUAUUGCUUGCAUUUAUUGUGUUCUAUUUAUUGUUCUUCAUUUAUUGCUCGUUAUUGAACAUAAAGAGCCUUCAUCAAAGCUCUCAAUGUUGUUAGCCCUUCAUUGGUUGUCCACAACUCAGUAUCGAGCUCGACCUCGGGGCCCCGUAUAAUCAGGUUCGAGGCCCCGAUUCUCAGCCGCUCGGUUUGCUUAAACACACUAUUUUCAAGUUCAUACCUUAUCUCCUAGUCUCAUAAUUAGCACCUAUUGCCUAAAACUAGCAUAAAAAUAGAUCACAUAUUUUUAGAACCACAAAAUCCAAUCUAAUUGUAAUUACCAUUUUCAAGGUAAACAUUUAUAUAUGCCCUGUGAGUCUCUUGUUUCAUUUGUUCGUGUAUCUACUCUGGUGGGCGAUACUAUUGUUGUGGACCGCAUAUAUCGGUCGUGUGUGGUGACUAUUGGAGGUUUGGAGACCCGAGUGGACCUUCUAUUGCUUUGUAUGGUUGACUUUGAUAUGAUAUUAGGUAUGGAUUGGCUAUCUCCGUGUCAUGCUAUUUUCGAUUGUCAUGCAAAGAUAGUGACGUUGGCUAUGCCGGAUGUGCCACAGAUUGAGUGGCGAGGUUCGACUGAUUUUGUUCCCAAGGGUGAUUUCAUUUAUGAAGGCCCAUCAGAUGGUUGGGAAAUGUUGUCUUUCAUACUUAGCGUUUGUGAGGGAUGUUAGUGCAGAGACUCCUACCAUUGAUUCGGUCCCGGUAGUGAGGGACUUUCUGGAUGUGUUUCCUGCAAACCUGUUGGGCAUGCCACCAAAUAGGGAUAUUUAUUUUGGUAUUGGUAUGGUGCAGGGCACUUAGCCCAUUUCUAUUCCACUAUGUCGUAUGGCACCAGCGGAGUUGAAGGAGCAGCUUCAGGAACUCCUUGAUAAGGAGUUUAUUCAGCAUAGUGUAUCGCCUUGGGGUGCGCCUAUUCUAUUUGUGAAGAAGAAGGAUGGCACUAUGAGGAUGUGCAAUGAUUACAGGUAGUUGAACAAAGUUACAAUUAAGAACAAGUACCCUUUGCAUAGUAUUGAUGAUUUAUUUGACUAGCUUCAGGGAGCGAGGGUGUUCUCCAAGAUUGAUCUCCAUUCAGGGAAUCACCAGUUAAAGAUCAGGGACUCGGAUAUCCUUACGACAACUUUCAGGACCCGAUAUGGUCAUUAUGAGUUCCUUGCCAUGUUUUUUGGGUUGACCAAUGCCCCAUUAGCAUUCAUGCAUUUGAUGAAUAGUGUGUUUCGGCCUUAUCUCGGCUCGUUUGUGAUUGUUUUUAUUGAUGAUAUUCUAGUGUACUCGUGUAGCUAGGAGGAGCACACUGAGCAUUUGAGAGUUGUGUUGCAGCGGUUGAGGGAGGAGAAGCUUUAUGUAAAGUUCUCCAAAUGUGAGUUUUGGCUAAGUUCAAUGGCUUUCUUAGGGUACGUGGUGUUCAGUGAGGGUAUUAAGGUUGAUCCGAAAAAGAUAGAGGCGGUUCAGAGUUGGCCCAGACCGUCCUCAGCAGCAGAGAUUCACAGCUUUCUUGGAUUGGUGGGUUAUUACCGUCGGUUCGUUAGCAUCUCCCUUGACCAAAUUGACUCAAAAGGGUGCUCCAUUCAGGUGGUCGGAUGAGUGUGAGGCGAGCUUUCAGAAGCUCAAGACUAUUUUGACCACAACUCCAGUGUUAGUUUUGCCAUUAGCUUCAGGUUAAUAUAAAGUGUAUUGUGAUGCUUCGAGAGUUAGUAUUGGGUGUGUGUUGAUGUAGGAGGGUAGAGUGAUUGCUUAUGCUUCUCGUCAUUUGAAGAUCGAUUAGAAGAACUACCAUGUUCAUAAUCUAGAGUUGGCUACCAUUGUUCACGUGUUGAAGAUUUGGAAGCAUUAUUUAUAUAGUGUGUCUUGUGAGGUGUUUACUGAUCAUCGUAGCCUCCAGCACUUGUUUAAUUUUAAGGAUCUCAAUUUUAGGUAGCGGAGAUGGUUGGAGUUGCUAAAGGACAAUGAUAUCACUAUCUUGUACCAUCCGGGAAAGACCAAUGUAGUGGUUGAUGCCUUGAGUAGGAAGGCAGUGAGUAUGGGCAUUUUGGCGUAUAUUCCUAUUAGGGAGAGACCUCUUGCAGUUGAUGUUCAAGCCUUGGCCAAUCAGUUUGUGAGGUUGGAUAUUUUGGAGCCCGGUCGGGUCUUAGCUCGUGUGGUUUCUCGGUCUUCCUUAUUUUAUCGCAUUAGAGAGCGCUAGUAUGAUGAUCCUCAUUUGCUUGUCCUUAAGGACAGAGUUCAGCACAACGAUGCCAGAGAUGUGACUAUUGGUGAUAAUGGGGUAUUGAGGAUGCAGGGCCGGAUAUGUGUACUAAUGUAGACGGGCUUUGGGAGUUGAUUCUGGAGGAGGCCCAACUCGCAGUAUUUCAUUCAUCUGGGUGUCACGAAGAUGUAUUAGGAUCUGAGACAACAUUAUUGGUGAAGGAGAAUGAAGAAAGAUAUUGAGGGAUUCGUAGCUCGGUGUCUCAAUUGUCGGUAGGUGAAAUAUGAGCAUCAGAGACCGGGUGGCUUGCUUCAUUAGAUGGAUAUUCCAGAGUGGAAGUGGGAGCGGAUCACCAUGGAUUUUAUAGUUGGACUCCUAUGGACUUUGAAGAAGUUCGAUGAUAUUUGGGUGAUUGUGUACCGGCUAACAAAGUUCGCGCACUUCAUUCCUGUGUGUACUACCUAUUCUUUAGAGUGGUUGGCAGAGAUCUAUAUUCGAGAGAUUGUUCCCUUACACGGUGUCCCAGUUUCCAUCAUUUCAGAUAGAGGUGCUCAGUUUACUUUGUAAUUUUGGAGGGUCGUGCAGAGAGAGUUAGGUACUCAGGUUGAGUUGAGCACAACUUUUCACCCUCAGAUGGACGGGCAGUCCGAGCGCACUAUUCAGAUAUUGGAUGACAUGUUGCGCAUUUGUAUCAUUGAUUUUGGUAGUUUAUGGGAUCAUUUUCUACCGCUCCUGGAUUUUGCUUAUAAUAACAAUUAUCAGUCGAGUAUUCAGAUGGCUCUAUAUGAGGCUUUAUAUGGGAGACGGUGUAGAUCUCUAGUUGGUUGGUUUGAGUCGGGUAAGGCUAGGCUUUUGGGUACAGACUUGGUGCAGGAUGCUUUGGACAGGGUGAAGGUGAUUUAGGAGCAGUUUCAUACAGCGCAGUCAAGACAAAAGAGUUAUGCUGACAAGAAGGUCCAUGAUGUGUCUUACAUGGUUAGGGAGAAGGUUCUACUGAAGGUUUCACCCAUGAAGAGUGUUAUGAGAUUUGGGAAGAAGAGUAAAUUGAGUCCUCGGUUCAUUGGUCCUUUCAAGGUGCUUCAGAGGAUUGGGGAGGUGGCUUAUGAGCUGACUUUGCCACCUAGCUUGUCGAGUGUGCAUCCAGUAGUUCAUGUUUCUAUGCUCCGGAAGUAUAUUGCCGAUCCGUCUCAUGUUUUGGAUUUCAGUCGGUUCAAUUAGAUGGUGAUUUGACUUAUUGUCACACAUCCUUUUUACCACCCGAAGGGGGAUAUAAUGGAGUUUUUCCAAUUAAAGUGACAUUAAUCGAAAUGAGAUUAUUUUAUUUAUUUUUUAGAGUCACCACUUGGAAUAGUUUAUUUGGUGUCCCAAGUCACCAGUUUAUUUUAAAAUCCCAAAUCGAUGAAAUUUCGACUUUAUUUUUGGUCCGCGAACAUAGAAUAUCGGGUAAGGAAUUUUGUUAACCCGGGAGAAGGUGUUAGGCACUCCCGAGUUCUGUGAUUUUAACACGGUCGCUAAACUAUUAAUAAUUGGCAUAAUUACCUGAUUUAUUACAUAUUUUAAACCUAUUGUGCAUUUUCAACUUUAUAACCACUUUUAUUUAUUAAUGGAAUUAUUUCUAGAACAAGUCACGAUGUCGUACACUCGUUGUUUUUGGUACACAUUGUAAACUGCGUCACAUGAAAUGCACUCGCGAUUUACAACAUGUUCAUUUUUAUUAUUGUUCGAAGUUGUGGUCGGAUUGCAUGAAAUGCACACACGAUUGGGAUUUACGUACCAUGACCAUUCUACGGAAUCGUACCCACUGUCACGAUAAUUUAUUAAUCAUACAAACUACGAUAUUUAAUAUUGAAGAUUGUUGUAAGGCUAUGCUUUAUGCAUAAAAUUUUAUUGGGGAGUAAAUAGGAUGAUUAACAGGAUCUAUUUUGUCCCAAAUCAAUCAGAGCCUCAACUUAGACUAAUUAAGUUUAGACACCAAGCGUACGGUCCAAGUGAGCCUUCUUUAUCAUACUAUCAUUUUCCUAUUCCAAAACUAUACAUAUCUCAGAGAAUUAUUGAGGCCAAAUGAAUAUGAUACAAUAAAAGGUCCAAAACAGCAAAUAUCUACAAGAAAAGCUAAGGAAGGAAAUUGGCACCACAAAUAAUUAAAGAAAACAUCUAAGACAUAUUUGAUAUGAAAAUAAUUGACAAUGAAAUGGACCUCUCAUGGCUUUAUGUGUAACAGAACAAACAACACACAUUUGGAGGCAUUUAAUGAGCUAAAAACAUUUGAUAUUAUUUAACAAGCCAACAAAGAGCAUGGAGUGACGAGAAAACGGACCUCUGUGAACUUAGAAAUUCUUUAAAAAAAUGAAGCUUGAUAACUGAAAUUCAGACAAAAAACUUGCCGGAGACCUCGAUGACCUCGACAAACUGAGCUCAACUUAAGAGAACAACAACAACUAAAGAAGCUGAAGCUGCUAUGUUUUAUAAUAAAAGAGAGCUGGCCGGAGAUGGUGAAACUCCAGCGUAACGCCGGCAAGGCAGUGAACUAGUGGAAAUGCAUUUACAUGGCUUUAGAACUGAUUUUAGGAGUGGGAUGGAGAAGCCACAACUGCUGCAUUUUUUUUAGAUCUGCUGCUGUGUUUUCUGCUAUGUUUGGAGAGCUUCCGGAGGUGAUUUUACUGGGUUUUAGAGCUAUUUCGUGGUUGAUUUUCAUAGCCUUUGGGGUUGAAAUUUGGGCGGUAAUGGGGUGUUUAUGGCUGAUCUUUGAAUGAAGAAGGAGGCUCUGUAUUUUUUUGUAUUCCCCCGUCUCUUUUCUCUAUCCGCUUUCCCGUUUUUCCCUCUGUUUUUGUGUCUCCUUUUUUCAUUUUUCCCUUUUUUUCUUUUUUGUGUGUUUAUGUUUUAUAUAUAUUUGUGAGUGUGUGUAUUUAUG
RNAcentral lists this long non-coding RNA (25163 nucleotides) under Nicotiana tabacum (common tobacco). Its description in RNAcentral is "long non-coding RNA (NTAB_LNC006791)". The record is from RNAcentral. Lineage: Eukaryota; Viridiplantae; Streptophyta; Magnoliopsida; Solanales; Solanaceae.